RNAcentral lists this ribosomal RNA (468 nucleotides) under uncultured bacterium. Its description in RNAcentral is "bacterial SSU rRNA". It matches the Rfam family "Bacterial small subunit ribosomal RNA", at positions 329 to 794 of the family's 1533-position model. The record is from RNAcentral.
UGCCAGACUCCUACGGGAGGCAGCAGUGAGGAAUAUUGGUCAAUGGGCGCGAGCCUGAACCAGCCAAGUCGCGUGAGGGAUGACGGCCCUACGGGUUGUAAACCUCUUUUGCCGGGGAGCAACGGGCGCCACGUGUGGCGCCACUGAGAGUACCCGGAGAAAAAGCAUCGGCUAACUCCGUGCCAGCAGCCGCGGUAAUACGGAGGAUGCGAGCGUUAUCCGGAUUUAUUGGGUUUAAAGGGUGCGCAGGCGGGCUGUUAAGCCGGCGGUAAAAAUUCAGGGCUCAACCCUGUCGAGCCGUCGGAACUGGCAGUCUUGAGUGGGCGAGAAGUAUGCGGAAUGCGUGGUGUAGCGGUGAAAUGCAUAGAUAUCACGCAGAACGCCGAUUGCGAAGGCAGCAUACCGGCGCCCAACUGACGCUGAGGCACGAAAGCGUGGGGAUCGAACAGGAUUAGAUACCCCAGUACA